This is a long non-coding RNA of Brachypodium distachyon (stiff brome), 5503 nucleotides long. RefSeq lists it as uncharacterized. NCBI's taxonomy places the organism in Eukaryota, Viridiplantae, Streptophyta, Magnoliopsida, Poales, Poaceae. The transcript has 2 exons. The record is from RefSeq and is a predicted model, not a curated record.
AUGUAGGACGUUACAACAUUGCGCCAAGAGAAGCGACUAAACAUUAAAGUAAAGAUGGGUUUUAAUCUGUUGCUCAAAUCUGCCAGGCUGAGAUACCAAAGUUGCAGCAAGUAUUUUUUUUUUUGACGAAACGCGGCAGCGCUACUUUUCAUUAAUUAAGAACGAAGAGAACAAAGCCAAGCGGCCGAAAUAGCUACAAGAGUUAUAGAGAAAUACAGAGCAACCGAAAAAGGCUUACACGACGACCAUCGCCACAACGAGGAACACAUGCAACGCAAGAGGAGCACUCCUAAAGCCAUCGAAAGACCACACAACACCGAGACAUUGCAACGCACACAAACAGCUCCUCCGCCACUCAGCUGUCAUCACCACGGCCAAACAAAGCACCAGGCCAACGAGUGUAGUGGCAUGGUCGAAGGACCUCUCCGCCGAGACCAAGUCGAAGGGCGUUGCGAAGCCGAGACAACACCACACACGAACCUUGACCGCCGCUGGACAACCCCGAGGAUUGCGGACAGAAACUGGCCAUUCACGCCGUCGAAAGGCACCGAGCAGUCGAGGCAGCAACAGGAGUGCGCGGCUCAUCACAAAGUAUGAAGCAAAGGAUCGAUGACGGUCGAAAACGUAAACCGAGAAGGCCACUUGCUGCGUCCACUAGAAACCGCCCGACCCGCCGAGAAAUCCACGGAUCCAAGACAACAUCUUCAAGAAGAAUGCGACACAGACUGCCGCCGCUGCCCGGUCCAAAGGACCUACGAUUUUCACCGGAUUCGUGAAAGGGGCCACAACAAUGCCUCGAAGGAGGGCUACGGCGCACGUAGGCGUCGCCAUUGUCAAGGCUGGCGGCCGCCGGUCUGAGCUUUCACCCGGCCCCUAAAAUCCAUGGCAGAGAAGGUGCUACUAGAGACAGCAAGGAGGGCGGUGGCCUAAGCCACACGCACGGACAGCCAAGGACGGCCAACAGACCACCACCGGGGGGCGCCACCCCAGACCCCAAAGCCGGCGAGCAGGGAGCUCACCGCCACCCGAGACGCCGCCAAGCGCCGGAUCCGGGCGCGAUGACCCAGAUCCAGACAUCUGCUGCAGCCCCGACCACCUGCCGCCUCCAGCAGCAAGUAUGAGUUAGUGGUUGCUAGCACACAUGAAUUCAAUCUCAAGGAAAACCAGCGCGAGAUAUUUGCAUGGCACGAUUCCUAACAGUGGAUCUAUUUAUUGCUCAUGAUUUUCAACCUAUGAAUGUGCUAUUUAAAUCUAGAACUAUGCGGAUAUAUUUACGACCACUAAUGCUGAUCGAUUAAAACAAGCGCUUGAUAUGUAUUGUCAGUCUUCUGGACAGAUGGUGAGUGAUGUGAUGCUAAAUCAUCAAAAAAUUCAGCCCUUGCACCUUGGUGGAAACGAAAGAACUAGUCUGUACUUCCUUGAACAUUUUAACAGAAUCGACUACAGACAAGUAUUUAGGACUGCCUCCACUUAUUGGUGUCCAUCGUACGGAUUGUUUCCAGCAUUUAAGAGAUAGAGUCUGUAACGGGUUAAAUGGGUGGAAGAAGAAAUUAUCUUUAGGAGGAAAGGAGCCAAGGAGGUCUUGCUCAAAGCAGUGGCACAAGCUAUUCCAUCUUAUGCAGUGUCUGUUUCUAAAUUACCAAAACAAGUAUGCAAAGGGAUAACUACUGCACAAUGUCCCAGUACUGGUGGGGUGAUGAAGAACACUAGAAGCAUAUGCAUUGGUUUGCGUGAUGGAAGAUGUGUAUACCUAAACAGAAGGGAGGCAUGGGUUUUCGUGAUCUUCAUUGUUUUAACCUAGCUAUGUUGGCUAGGCAGUGUUGGAGACUCUUGCAGGCGCCGAAUUCUUUACGUGUUUCGGUCUUAAGAGCUAAGUAUUAUCCUUCUGGAGAUCUUCUCAGUUGUGAUUUAAAGAAGGAUAGCUCUUUUACUUGGCAAAGUCUUUGGGAUGGAAUACUAGUCUUUUAGCGUGGACAUAUUUGAAGAGUUGGUGAUGGAACUAGCAUUAAUAUUUGUGAUGAUCCUUGGACUCCCAACAGCCCAGAUCGUGGAAUAAUGACGAGAAGAGGGACAUUGUCUGCACUAAGAUUUCUGAACUUAUUGAUGUUGAAAACAGAUGCUGGGAUGAGCAGGUCUUGCGUGAUCUGUUCUGGGAUGUUGAUGUUAACCGGAUUUUGAAAAUUCCUAUUGCUAGAACACAGAUGGAUGAUCUGGUCUUGUGGCACUAAUGCAAUUCCAAGCAUACCCAGCUGCAAUUGCUAGUUAAAUAUCUUCUUUUACUAACUUCUCCUUGUAGUCCUAGUUUCACCAACUUUCUUUUGCAUUGAUCUCAUUGAGCUCUUUGAGGACCAUGUGGUAUGUUUUGUUAGUUUUGGACUGUUUUCAUUUUGGAUUGUUUUAAUUCCCUUUUUUCUGUGCAGACUGUCCCAUAAAUUAUGAUUCUUACAUGUACACAGUUGCAACCGAGCUCAAGUUCCGCAUUGAUUCUGAUGGACGUUUGGCAACAGUAGGCUCUACCAUGUGGAGAGAUUUCCUGGUCAAAGCUGGUCUCAACGAAAAGGAUCAUAUUUCUUUUCUCAUCUUCAAGGAAAUGUCACGCCUAGUAGUCUGUGCUUUGAAGAUAUGAGCAUGUAUAUUUUGCGUCGACUCACAUCGGUGGAAUCAUGUGCUUCUAUAACUAAAAGUCGGAAUUUUAUUUUGUGUUUUGUGUUGUUUGUUCGCGAAAUUAACACCAGUAACGCAACUAUGAAUGCCAUGAUAUUAUUUUGCUUUUGGGAUUCCUUAGUUCUGAUUACAUUGCUUUUUGGCAGGAAGGCGCUGUGUUUUGGAAUUAACUAUGAAUUCUAACCCUAUGUUCAUAUUUGUAUCUAUUCCUUUGUUCUGUUAAAACCAGGUAUAUAUCUUUUUGGUUUGCACGAUGCCUAGAAGGGUCCUCUGGCUGUUGUUUAAACAGACUGUCAAGGGGUGAGACACUCAAUCUUUUGGACGAUCUCUGAAGAGGAGAUGGGGGGGGGGUAGUAUCUGAAUGAUGGUUAGAUGGAUCUUGUUUUCGGCAAGGGAAGCUAGAGGCCCACUUGAAUCAGCAAUAAACAGGUACACCACUUUUUGCAUGCAUGCUUUCUGCAACUCCUGUAAUUAUAUGGGUUCUGCCACUGCAAUUACCCUGGGUUUCCCUUUCAGUUGCACUUCUGAAAUUCCUUCCUAAAUUUUGGCUACCAUUCUUGGGAUCAUCGUCACGGCUGUACAUGUGAAUUGCAUUAGGAGUCAUCAUGCAAUUAUAGGGUUCUGCCACUGCAAUUACCAUGGGUUUCUCUUUCAUUUUUCCAAUAAUCAACUUACUGUACCAUUUUUUGAGCCUUUUUUAAGUGUGUAAUUGCAAUCCAUGUUACUGUAGUAGCCUAUUGCAAUAUUUUGUCCUUUCUGCAAUUCAAGUCCCUUGUAAUUGCAAUUUCCAUGUAUUGCAACCUAAAUUUUCAUGCAACUACCAUUAAUUUGGGUUUUGUUUAAACUAAGUAGAUGUAAGCUUAAAAUUUGGUAACUGAAUGAUGGGUAGAUGCUGUCUCAAAUUUUGGCAAGGGAAGCUAGAGGCCCCGUUGAAUAACCAAUGAACAGGUAAACUUCUUACCCAACUUCUUUUUUGUCCUGCUAUGUAUGGUCACAAACAUGGUCAAUUGCACUUUUUUUUUCUGCAAUCUGGCAUAUAACCAAAGUCAUUUGCAGCUUCCCGCUCCUUGAAUUGCAUCCCCAGAUUUUUGCCCUUUUAGUUUCUGAAUUUCGGUCCAUUUUGUCCUAGGUUCAAAUUGUAGGUCAAAGGCAUUUUUGAGUUCAAUACCUGGAAUUUUGCAAUGCUGAUCUGUUUACUCAAUUUGCAUGGAAUUCACCAUGCGCAAUUGGUUUGUCAUAAGCAACACGAUUGCAUUUGUCUCUGACUAAAAUUGCAGACCUGCAUUUUGGUAUCCUGUUUUGUUGUUGAUUAUUGGUUGUUGUACAGAGGAUGUAUGCUUUUCUGGGAUGGUUUUGGGUUUGAUUUUUGACACUGACUGCGAGCCAUAGUUUGAAUUUACCCAGAGAGCAAAAAUUUGGCUAGCAACAGGGGGAAUUUGACAUGGUUAUCUGGUAUCACUGAAAGUAUUCCUUUUGAGUAGAAACGCAUCAUCGAUAAUUAUGGAUUUUAUUUCGUGUUCCACCUUAAUUCAUUUGGAGUUCCACGUUCCUUUGCCCAAUGGUUAGCGGACCACACCCAGGCUGAACGUUCUGACAUCAUCGUCGAUAGUGGUGUCGUCCAUCUUAGCGUUGAGUCCUUUUCUGAAGUUAUUGGGCUAGAAAACUCUGGAUUGGAUGUAAAUGCUGAUUUUGAUGGUUCAUAAGAUCUGAUAAUCUUAUGAUGUAUCUAUUCCAUAUUUUCUAAAAUUGCAGAUUGCACUACGCCAUGCCCUUACUUGCAGCACCCUUUUAGGAUGUUAAAUACCGUACUGAAAUUGAUUCAUUCUGGUUAUUUAUUUCCGACCCUUUGUUGUGUGCCCAUAUAGUUCAAAUUUGCACUACUAUAUACUCCUAGUUGCAACGCUGUAACAUCUGCAUUUCAAAGCUUAACGAAGUGCAAUUGAUAAUUUUUUGCUAUCUGAUAAUCAUACAUUGUAUCUGUUUCAUCUUUCUAAAAUUUCAAUUUGCACAGUGCCAUGCCCUUAAUUGCAGUACCUUUUGUAUGCAUGGACAUCAUAUUGUAAUGGUUAUGGUUAUUGCUGUAAGUCAAUUAAUCUUAGAAAAACCUACUAGUCUAAAUGCACUGUCUAUCUAAGCUUUUGUACCUGUACUAUAUAAUUUUUAGCAAAGCCUGUUCAUAUGGAUAUGGAGAAUGCUAGAUGCAGUCAGCAUCUUAGCUAUGCUUGUGUGGUUAUUCCACCCUUUUAUUCCACUGUUAGAAGGAUGUUUUUUUGCUUCUCUGGAUGUGCCCUUUUUUUCAGAUUUGUGCUCCUGCUGGAAGGAUUUUGGAGAUUCAAUUUGUUUGCCAGCACAGAAGCAAAACAGAGAAACAGAGAACAGGUUUGCACAACAAAAUGCCCACACAAUUAUCCUUUUGUGUUUUUCUACUGAUGGUUCAUAUGUUUCUCCUCUGUUGUUUGAAUCUUUGGUUUUUUUGGCGUCAAAGUUAGCUGGUUGUUUUGGUUAGAGAAGACUUGAUUCUUUUUGUUUUGUGGCUCACAGAAGAUUCGACUGGUUUCAAUCAAAAAACCAGGCGACUACUAGAAUGCCAAAAACCAGGCGACUGGUUCCUGGGCAAAAAAUAGGCGUCUGCCCAAUAGACAGACCCGAUUAUUCUUUUGAGACAUGGAUCUCUAACUUCAGAUAGCUUUUUCUUGUUUUCCUUUUCUCAACCCUUUGUAGUUUGUACAUAUUUGAUUUUUAUUUAAUAUAUGGCAGUAGGUUUUUUAACCUACUGUCUUCCCAUGAAAAAACACAUGUUUUAAUUUUAAUUGAUAUGAGUAUCUGACUUUCUUCUGAA